Molecule: long non-coding RNA, 2079 nt
Organism: Cervus hanglu yarkandensis (Yarkand deer)
Lineage: Eukaryota; Metazoa; Chordata; Mammalia; Artiodactyla; Cervidae
Source: Ensembl
GCGGGGGGGAGGGGGUGUCACAAAAUCAUAUUUGGGGAGAAAAUACCUGGCUAACUUAAACCUCUUUGUGGCAAGAAUGAGAACUCCUAAGACAGAAAAAGACCUUUUUUUUUUUUUGUAAUCCAAGGAUAAAAGAAGAUGCCUGUAAUGAUCUAGGCAUAUAAAACUUUUUGGCAAAGAAGUAAAAAUGGAGCUGGUCCCAAACUCCUUGCCGACUGGAUCAAAAAAACUCUGAGUGGAAGAAAGUGUGGAAAGCAAGAUUUCAAAACCCAGCAAGUUGUUGUUCGUGAUUUAAAGCGACAGAAAGACAUUCCAAGCAGCAGAAAAGGAACUGAGAACCACGAGGCACGGAAACUCUCCCCAUCUGCCGGCGUUGUUAAGGGAACCAGUGCUUUAAUUUACACUCGUAGGCUCCUCCCUUUCUUCCUCAUCAACACCCCCAACCAUCCCUUAAGGGAAAAAAAAAAAAACUUCGAUUCUUCUGUUCAAGAACUCUCAAAGUGUUCUCAAGAGCUUCUGAAAGGACACUUCAUUUCUAUAUUCCCAGCGUUCAGAAUAAGGAAGGCCUGGCUCAAUAAAAGCUAAUCAAUCAGUCAAUGAAUUACAUUGUGAGAGCUGGACCAUAAAGAAGGCUGAUCACUGAAGAGCUGAUGCUUUUGAACUGUGAUGUUGGAGAAGACUCUUGAGAGUCGGACUGCAAGGAGAUCAAACCUAUCAAUCCUAAAGGAAAUCAACACUGAACAUUCAUUUGAAAGACGGAUGCUGAAGCUGAAGCUCCAAUACUGUGGCUACCUGAUGUGAAGAGCUGACUCACUGGAAAAGAUCCUGAUUCUGGGAAAGAUUGUGGGCAGGAGAAGAAGGGGGCAACAGAGGAUGAGAUGGUUGGAUGGCAUCACCGACUUGAUGGACAUGAAUUUGAGAAAGCUCCGGGAGAUAGUGAAGGACAGAGGAGCCUGGUGUGCUGUAGUCCAUGGGGUCACAAAGAGUAGGACAUGACUGAGUGACUGAACAACAAAUAAACUACAUUGACUCCAUCUGGGGAAAAAGGAGAGGUAGGUUCUCCUAAGCAUUGUCUCCCUGCUCCCCAUGAGCUGGAGUACUGAGGUUGUCCAGUGUCACUGAACUGUUGGCCAUCCCAGACUCCCCCUCAACUCUCCCCAUCACCUGGGUGCCCAUCUUUCAGGAAAUCACAAAUGUGCCCCUCUCAGCACCUUUUCCUUUGACUCUGUCAGAGGCUUACCUUGGGUACCCAGUUUAAUGGACUGUACUGAUCACAAAAUAAGGAGUAACCAGUUCCUUAAAGAAAGUCUUCCGGGGCUUCCCUGGUGGUCCAGUAGUUGAGCAUCUGCCUCGCAAUGCAGGGGAUACAGGUUUGAUCCCUAAUCAGAGACCUAAGAUCUCACAUGCCUCAGAACAAGUGAGCCCCUGAGCCACAACUACUGAGCUAUUGCACUACAACUAGAGUCCAUGCACCACAAUGAAAGAUCCUGCAUGAUGCAACUAAGACUGGACACAGCCAAAUUAAUCAACCUUUUUAAAAGACUUCUGUUUUCUUAAUGUCAUUUCCAGAACCAUAAUCCCAUCAGCAAAGGGUACCAUUUCAUCAAUGGUGAGUUCCACUGAGCCACCAUCUUUCCCAGUAUCCCUAACAGUUUCCCCUUAGGCUCCUUGAAUUCAUGCUUAUGGUUCUAUCCAGUGCUCCUAUAAGAGAAAGAGGAGUCUCCUUUCCUUGUCUCACCAGCCCUACCUCCAUCCUGAAGUCUGGCCCUACAUCACAAGAGUCCUGAGUUGUUCCAUGAAGCAUGCGAUCUUUAGCCAGAAGCAGAACUCUAGCUCUGUUGGGUCUGCUCUGCACUGAAGAGACAAAAUGAAUAACUCCUUGUGCAGAAAAUGGCUAACCCGGAGCCAUGCACUUCAUGAGGCAGGAACGCACAUUCCCCCUGCUCUGCCCUGAACUGCUGUCCCAGUAGCAUCUGAAACCUUCCCCAGGGUCAUCUGUCAUCACAUGGCGCAGUGUGUCAGCCAACCCCUGAUGGGGGAGCUAACAGCCCACAUGCCUUGGGGCCAAAAAUCCAAAAC